Molecule: non-coding RNA, 2053 nt
Organism: Drosophila virilis
Lineage: Eukaryota; Metazoa; Arthropoda; Insecta; Diptera; Drosophilidae
Source: RefSeq, a predicted model, not a curated record
AAUUCUAUACACCGAAGUAAUUCAAAAAUGCAUUUCCCGCAGUGGGGCCUAAAGUCAGAAGAAGCAAUAGGCAGGUGGAAGGAUGCUUGUGUGUGAACUCCCACUUAAACUCGAAAGACAAACAUAUGUGAAAAAAAAGAAAAAUAUGUAAAAUUGUUGUCACUGUGUGACUUAUGGGGUUCGGUGUCUUCCGGAUCGGAGCCAAGUGGGCGAAGUGGCACUGACAAAAACAAGGACUAAUUUGUGCAACAAACUCGCUGCAAUCGAGCCGAGAAAUGUAAAUCAAAACUUGGCCGAGUAGCUUGCUAAUUAGAUUAAGACCAGGACCAAGAGUAAGAGCAAGCGAAAGACCAGAGCCAGGACCAAAAACCAACUGUAGCCGGAGCAGCAAAAAGCAGAGCAAGCUCAGUGUAACACAGUGCAACACAAGGAUGCAUUGCUGUUGACAAUUUGGCUGAAGCUUUUUGUUGCCGCAUGCAUAUUUUUGACUGGGCGCCAAGUGGCAAGAUUGUCGUCCUGCUGCGAGACGCAGGUCGCGGGCUUGUUGAUGCUGCUGUUGUCGCUGCUGCGCUUAAUUAUUUCCUUGGCCGGCAAUCAACAAUCAGCAUAAUUCUGACACGCCCACUUGGGGGCGUCUGGGUAAUGAAAAAUGAGCAAAGUUUCAGUCAGCGAUUUCGCAUCCAAAAAGUUCAAGGAGGAACUCAGCUAACAGUCUUGGCAAUGCGCCCGAGCAGGCGCAGCCGCCAUCGCCAUCUUAUUUCCAUUUGUGGGCGGCGGAUGAGCAGGCGUUGCAGCUGAUCCUUGUUCAUGGCUUGACAUCAUCAAUGCUCCACUUAAUCCAUUAAAUGGCAGCUAGCAGCCAAAUUGCCUCACAAUGUCACAUGUGCCAGAUAUCUGACAGAAUAAAGUCCAUAUAUCUGUAUACUGGCUGAACAGAGAGCAUCACACAGCCGUAAGAUCUUAUAAACAGAAGUUCUGUUUGACGAUGAGUUUUUGGAAUAUUCGACCAGCACUUUUGAAUGAAAAACAGCAGAAACAAUGCAGCUCUGUGAGUGGGCUUUGCAAACUGCGUGGCUAAGUACAUGCUCGCGUGCGUAGUACAUCUGUCUGCAGUUGGCGCGAAUCACACCAGCAAGAGAGGCCCAUGAGUAAAUUAUGAAAAAGUGAAUACAUGCGACGAGAUAGCGGAAUGAAUUUACCAGAUCAACAAAUAGAAAGGGUGAAGUGCACAGAGGCCGUAGAAUACAGCUCCUUUGAGAGCUUCUGUCUGCCGCAGGAAGGCAGCACCAACAAGAGAAAAGGUGACUAAAACUAACUACAACGCAAAAAGCGAGCCUGAAAAAAUAGUUAUUGCGAACUCGCACAGAUGCUGUGCUGUGCUGGCUAAACUAAUUGAAGAGAAGAGGCUGAUGAAAGUGCUUGUAACGAAAAUCAACUUUUGCUUGACGGAACGGUCACAAUGCAAGUGGCAAGAACGGUGGACGAACGAGAGCAUUGGACAAGGGACGGCAAGACUUGUAUCCAAUAUCAAAGGACAUGAAUAUGUUUGCCAUUACUUGAAUUCCAGAGGCAAGAUCACAAAGCUAUCUGCGGAUAUGGGCCCGGAUAUGCAAUUACAUUUGAUCAGCUUAAUGACAUAGCCAGAAUGAGCAAGAGCUGUGUUAAAAAUGACGCCGUUGCGAAUGAAAAUAUCGUGUCUUGCAUAUAUGCUUAUUUGCCGCUUUUAAUUUAGGCGUGGCUUCAAGCUUUCUCUUUUAAAAGUCAACGAAUGCAGUCGCAUUAGAUUGGAUUACAAAUUAUAAAGUUCAGUUUUUCACGUGGGCGUAAUAAGCCCACGCGGCGUGAGAAGCAGUAGACAUUCCCACCAUGCCAUCUAGUCAUAAAAAUAUCAUUUUCAUAAUUUUGUAUAACACAGAUUCCUUGUAUUCGAAGUCGGGUCGCCAAGUUAUGUUCUCACUUUGCUUCGUCCUAAUCCACAUCGCAUUUUCCAAUUGCUCUUGAGUAUAUGAAUAUAGAAAAUUUAUUUUGGCAAACUUAUAAGAGACUGCAGACU